UGGCGCAAUUCGCCAUGAAUGACGUCGUCCAGAAAUGGCAGUGAGUGAAGGAAUGCGCACAGUGUAAAUGCAGAACACAGAACAUAAUCUCCAAUUCUCAUCAGUGAAUCUGUAGCUUGACGGAAAAAUGGGGGUGCUUAUAAAUAAGACUUUUUGGGUUACUUUAGCAGCUCUUUUUAAACCAGAAAAGAAGAUAUAAAAUGUCUGAAAAGCCAACUUUCUUUUAGAAUUGGAAAGAAUAUCCGCCAUAUUUUUAAAGGUCUGGGGGUAGGAGUUCCAUGAGUGAAAUCAAGGGGUUAAUGACAUAAUGGAUCUCACAGAAACCACAGGAAAUAACUGACUGAUAUUAUGCCGCCAUUACUAUUUCAGGAUACGGCUGGGGAGCACUUUUCAUUCACUGUCGGAAGCAUGGAGUUGUGUUAUUACAACCCUAAUUUGAACCUUUAUUUCCCUAAUUAAUGAUGGCUUAAUAACUCUUUAUAUGAGUUCAUCCUACAUACAUCGAAAAGUAAUUGGAUGUAAAAAGGAAGUAAAAAAUAAAAUAAAUAAAAUGUGUCGACUGCUUUCCCCCAAAAUAUUCUCAAUAGUGACAGGAUUCUUCUUUCAUUUUUUAAAUACAUCACUAAAUAAAGCAUAGAUAAAUUCUGGGAGAUUCUCGGUUUUCUUAUAAAUUUAUAUUAAGGAUUUAGCAAAUCACAUCAUAAUCCAAUUCAGACAAAGCCAGGGCAAACAUUGUAAAUGAAGGAGAGAAAGAAACCAUUCCUCCUCCGCUCUGUCUGCCGGGUGUAAAGGGCGGAGCUUAUAACAAUGAUUGACAGGGAGCUAAGAUGGAGGUUGCUCUCUCUAUACUGACUGCCGGGUGUAAAGGGCGGAGCUUAUAACAAUGAUUGACAGGGAGCUAAGAUGGAGGAGGCUCUCUCUAUACUGACUGCCAGGUGUAAAGGGCGGAGCUUAUAACAAUGACUGACAGGGAGCUAAGAUGGAGGCGGCUCUCUCUAUGUUGACUGCCAGGUGUAAAGGGCGGAGCUUAUAACAAUGACUGACAGGGAGCUAAGAUGGAGGCGGCUCUCUCUAUACUGACUGCCGGGUGUAAAGGGCGGAGCUUAUAACAAUGAUUGACAGGGAGCUAAGAUGGAGGUGGCUCUCUCUAUGUUGACUGCCAGGUGUAAAGGGCGGAGCUUAUAACAAUGAUUGACAGGGAGCUAAGAUGGAGGCGGCUCUCUCUAUGUUGACUGCCAGGUGUAAAUGGCGGAGCAUAUAACAAUGACUGACAGGGAGCUAAGAUGGAGGCGGCUCUCUCUAUACUGACUGCCAGGUGUAAAGGGCGGGGCUUAUAACAAUGAUUGACAGGGAGCUAAGAUGGAGG
Molecule: long non-coding RNA, 1366 nt
Filed under: Pelobates cultripes (western spadefoot toad)
Lineage: Eukaryota; Metazoa; Chordata; Amphibia; Anura; Pelobatidae
Source: RNAcentral